GCCCUCCCUCAGGAAGUAUGACAUACUGCCGGAACUGUGGCUAAUGGUGCGGACCACCCUGCUCACUGGCAGCAAAGUGGGUAGCUACGCUCUCUUCUGGAAGCCCCUCUGCAGCACUACUCUUGGGAGUGGAAAAGGAAGUGGUCAGAAGGUGCUCCAGCUGAGUCGUGGCUGCCUCCUGCUGGUGACGUGACUGAGGGGAAGAAUGUGGUGAGAGAUGGAGCAGAGGCUGGAUUCCCCUGGGGCCGCUACCACCAGCUCAGCCCCAGCCUCCUCAGCUUUCUGCAGCUGAGCCUCCAGGAUUAACAACCUAGUCUUAGGCCGGGCAUGGUGGCUCAUGUCUGUAAUCCCGGGACUUCAGGAGGCUGAGGCAGAUGGAUCACCUGAGGUCAGGAGUUCAAGACCAGCCUGGCCAACAUGACCUACAUUUGGGAGCUGAUCUGUCUUGCCCUCAGUUAGGCCCAGCCCUUCCGUGGGGACCAGGAAAAUCUUUGCUCACCUGGAGAAGCUGCUGGUUCAGCCCAACUUUAUCUAACGCCAAAGCCUCAUUUAAGGCACUGAGCUUGACAGCUGCAGCCCGAAGAUCAGCUACUUCUGUCUUCAGGGUGUUUUCAGAACUCGACAGCUCUGCAAUUGACUGCUCUGCCUAAAAAACAAAGAGGGUUAAAGAGUUUCAUAUUUCCAAUUUUCCUGGAACAGUAAACAGUUCACAUUCACAACACUGCUGCUUUUUGGUACAGAGAUCAGUUAAUACUGCAUUCCCUCUCCUGCAUUCUAAGAAAAGUUUUCCCUUCAUUCAUUCAUUAAGGAGUAAGACAGGAGCUCACAGUAUAGAGGUACCAAUGUUAGGAUAGAGAAAUGGCUAUGACUGUAAUGAUGCCACAGAAAAUGUAAGCACAAAGUGCUCUGGGAACUCAAAAAAACUAUUAAUAUAGUUUGGAAGAGUCAAAUAUGCUUGGUAGAGGAGUUGACAAUUAAGUUGUGUACUGAGAGAUGAGGAACAGUUUGCACAUAAAGGAGGAGGAAAGAAUUAGUGCAGAGAAAGGGAAAAGUAUACGCAGAAUAUUAGAGUCAUGAAGAACAUGGAAUAACUGAGAAGGCAAUUACUGCUGUGGCAGGAGCAAAGGAUAUGAGGUGUUAGGAUGGGUUUUGCAGUAGAAGGGGAGGCUAAAACACACUUUGGGGCACAUGACAAAAAGCUUUGAAUGUGGCACCACAGAGCUAGAAAGCCGUUGAAUGGUUUUAAGAGACUGACAUAACCAGGUAUAUACUUUAGAAAAGCCCAUUCUAAUUCCAAUAUAGAGGGUAUGUUGGAAUAGAGAACCCAGAAGCAGACUAAUGAUUGAGGAAAGAUGAGGGAUCCUGGGUUGAAGGUGAAGAAUGAGGCAGGCUGCAUGGGAACACACUUUCGAAGCCGCCCACCCAGCAAGUGAGGAGAGGAGGCCACGCACCCUAGCCAGCGCUGCGGUCACUUCCGUUUGCUCUUGCCUCAGUAACUCCCCUUCCAGGCGACUUGACUCCAGUGCUUCCCGAAGAGUGAUCAGUUCACUGAGUGAUUCUGACUGUUUGGCUUCCAGGCCCAUCAGCGUCUCCUGACUAAGAUGGGAAGGAGAGGGGUCUAGAGGAACUCUUAGGGAUGGGCCAUAACCCCAAAGGUAACAGGAAUAUAAUCACCUUUGCUAUGCAACAGAAUGAGGGUGGUCUAUAAACACUGAUAAGGAAAGAUUUCUAAGACAUGUCAAGUGAAAAAAAAUCAAGGUGCAGAACAGUAUAUACAUAAUACACUACCUUUUAUGCAAGAAAGCGGGGGAAGAAAGAAUAUAUGCCCGUAUUUGCAUGAGGGAGCACUGGCAAGAUAAACAAGAAGUCAGCUAAAAUGGUUGCCUAAAGGGGGAAGGGAAAUAGGAUGGAGAAAGCACAAAUAAGAGUGAGACUUCUUUGUAUAUCUUCUUAGCUCACUGAAGCCUCAAACUCCUGGGGGCUGUGAUCCUCCCAUCUCACCUUGCCGUGGCUACAGGCACAUGCCACCACAUUCAGCUAAUUUUUUGUUGUUCCUGUAGAGACAGAGGUCUCACUAUGUUGCCCAGGCAGGUCUUAAACUCCUAACCUCAAGUGAUCCUCCCACUAAGGCCUCUAAAAGGGUUGGAAUUACAGGGGUGAGCCAAUGUGCCUAGCCUUAAAAUAGUUUUGACUUUUGAAUCAUAUAAAUGUAUUAUCAAGUCAGAUAAAUAAAUUUAAAAACAUAUUAUGAUCUCUGUGGAUUGUCUGCCCUGCUCCUUGGUACAGGGAGAUCAUUCUUAGCAUAAGUCAUGACCCUUAUGGCAGCCCUUCAAGCUUCCACUAUUCAUGCCUACCAGGUACAACGAACUGGAGCACAGGAGAGGAGGGAAAAACAGCAAAGAUGACGAUAGAUCCCUGCUCCCAGUUAUUAAAGACCUACUAUACGCCAGGUUCUAUGCUGGCGUUUUCCAAAAUAUUGCUCUCAUCUUCCCAGCAAUCCUUCAAGUGUCUCAUCCCAUAUGGGUGCUCAACUAAGACUUAACCAACCAUGAACUUUCCAUAUUCAUCUUUCUGCAAAGGAAGAAGCAGCAAGCUAAUCUGAACCCACUGCAUGCCAGACUUCUACAUACUCUACUUUGUAAGAGAGGGGAGUAGGCGGAGAGGGUGUAGAAUUGAAGGAAGACCAGGCCCCACCGAGGAGGAGACUAGUCUCACUUACAGACGCUCCCUCUCCCGGACAGCCAGGUGCAGCUCCUCCUGCUGCUCCUCCUUCUGGCCCUGGGCAGAGUCCCCCUGCAGCUGAAGCUCCACAUUUGCCCUCCGCAGGCGCCAUGCCUCCUGCUCUAGCACCUCCAGCUGCUGCCGCAGCUCUUCCCUGGCCUUCUGCAGCAGCUCUCGCUCCCUGGAAGAAGGGAAUCAGAGAUGAGCAGAGGCCAUGGGACCUAAAAUUCUUUCUGGAAGCAGGCAUCACAGGGUCAAAAGACCCUGUUUCAACAUCCCAUCUUCUCUUUUGAGUGUGAAACUUUUUUAUCAUCACAAAGACUCCAACCCCAAAAGCUUGUUCUGGAGAAACAAGUGGAACACAGGGCAAAACAGCCCUGAGUCUCAGGGAGAACAGGAUCAGCACCCCAAAAACCUGAUGGGAAUGGGUAAAUGGCUGGAUGAUGACUGAGACUGAGACCAGGCUGGGAGGGUGGGAUGAACAGCCUGUCUGCUCACUUGCUGAGAGAGUCCACCUCUCCCUGGAGGUCCACAGUCUGCCCUGCCAGAGUGUCCCGCUCCCCAGUGAGCUUUUGCAGCCGCUGUCUCAAGGCUUUGCCCUCUUCCUCCCACUGAUCAUGCUGCUGUUGCAACAAGUUCACAGCCUCUUGACAGCCUGCAAGCUGCUGCCUUAGGUCCUGUGGAGGGAGAGCAAGAGAAACCAGAUGAUGAACAAGGGCAAAGGAGGGAUGUCAGAACCCUGAAAGUGGGGCUGGAGAAGGGGGUCGGGGGCUGGUGCAACAAAAGUAAGCUGAGAAGGGAGAUGCAACUAUUCAAGAAGACAGGCCAUCAGAGGUCAUUGGGCUUCUGUGGCUCUAGAUUCUUAGAGUUUGUCAUCUCCAAAUGUACAGUGGCAUGGGGGAGUGGUAAGUGUGCCUAGGACUCUCAGAGUUGGAGAACAUUGACCCGAUAAUCUCCCAGGGCUCUGGUUCCCAGUCUUUGCAUAGUGUUAUGCAAAGAUUGUACACAAAGUGAGGCAUGCCAUCGGCGUGGAGGAUGUGCUUGCUACUCACAAGCACAAUUCAGCAGACAUAGGCAGAUUUACUCUGGGAUGUUGAUAAAACACCUCAUGACUGGUCAAAAAAGUGAAAGGGAUAGUCCAGGCUAGGGAGGUACCUGAGGCACAAACCAGUUUAGACACACACCCCUGUGACUGAGGUGGAAUGCUGAGGGUUCUUACCUGCACAGCCUGGUGUCUCCGAGUCAGCACUGAACGCACCAGAGUAAGAGCCUUGUCUGGAUCCUGGUAAUCAAACUGGGAGAAGAUACUAGAGUCCAAUUCCAAAGAGUUCUCAUGACCAGAGCCUUGAGCUAUAUUGUCCCCUUCUUCUACCAUGACCUGAAACCCAAUACAGCAAGGUCACCACCCUACUGACCAAAGCCUAAAGUCUAUACAGGGACUUAACCUUAUAGCCUGGACAAACCUGAUGUUUUCCUUCUCAGGUCCUCUCCCUUGGGGGAAGGAGGGGAGUAUCUGAGAGCAUAAAAGUCUGGUUCCUUCAACUCUCCACCUUUGGUCACCCAAGUGUAAUGAUUAACAACAAGGCUAGAACACUGUCUGAGGUAACAAUAAAUGAGGAAAUGAAAGAAGAAACGAUUGAGAUAUUGAAUACCAGAAUCCAGCCUCCAGCCUGAGAACUGCAGCUAGAAACAAGAACAGCCUGUCCCAUCAGGUAGUGCUAAGGCAUGAAUGCUUAGCUAUCUCUUAGGGUUCUGGUCUUCAAACACACAAAACUCAUCCCCACAAGACUUUAAGCACCCGAACCUCAGAGACUGGAAAUCUAGGCAGGACUGAAAGGACAUGGAGACCUGGGGAGUGGAGGCAUAAACUGGUUACCACGAACAGGAGGCUUCCCAGUACCUGGGUUAUAUCCUUGAUCACCUGCUGUAAAGACAACUUCUCCUCUUGCAUAUUCCUACUAAGAGAUGCUUCAUGUUCCAUUAAUUCUGUGUGAUUUGUCUCCUGAACAGUGAACAGAAUAGAGCCUCAGAGCCAAACUCUCAAAAGUGAAUGUAUUAUUCCAGGACCCCAAACAACCAAAGUCUCAUUUGUCUAUUCUAUCAGCCCCACUUUUCCCCUGACCAUACGUCAAUGCCAAUGUUGUCUGAAGAGUCUGAAGACAAUGUGAUGUGGUGAUUACAAGUUUAGAUUAAGUGAUUACGAGUUCCAAAUUAGACUUCACAGAUUAGAAUUCCUGCUCUAUCACUUACUAGCUUGGUAACCAUAGGCAACAGUUUCUUUGAGCUUCUUUUUCUUUAAAAUAGAAUUAAUUAACAGCAACUACUUGUUUUGAGGCUUAAAUGAAAAAUGCAUGUAAAUUAUUCAACAUAGUGUCUGGAACAAUGCAAAUGUUCAAUAAAUGUAAACUAUUAUUAGAU
Molecule: long non-coding RNA, 5139 nt
Organism: Symphalangus syndactylus (siamang)
Lineage: Eukaryota; Metazoa; Chordata; Mammalia; Primates; Hylobatidae
Source: RefSeq, a predicted model, not a curated record